This 253-nucleotide ribosomal RNA is filed under the name uncultured bacterium. Its description in RNAcentral is "partial 16S ribosomal RNA". It matches the Rfam family "Bacterial small subunit ribosomal RNA", at positions 524 to 776 of the family's 1533-position model. The record is from RNAcentral.
UACGUAGGGCGCAAGCGUUAUCCGGAAUUAUUGGGCGUAAAGAGCUCGUAGGCGGUUUGUCGCGUCGACUGUGAAAACCUGGGGCUUAACUCUGGGCCUGCAGUCGAUACGGGCAGACUUGAGUUCGGUAGGGGAGACUGGAAUUCCUGGUGUAGCGGUGAAAUGCGUAGAUAUGUGGAGGAACACCUGUGGCGAAGGCGCCUUGCUGGCCAAUUUCUGACGCUGAGGCGCGAAAGCGUGGGGAGCAAACAGG